Molecule: ribosomal RNA, 488 nt
Filed under: uncultured bacterium
Lineage: Bacteria
Description: partial 16S ribosomal RNA
Rfam family: Bacterial small subunit ribosomal RNA
Source: RNAcentral
GACGAACGCUGGCGGCGUGCUUAACACAUGCAAGUCGAACGGAAAGGCCCUGCUUUUGUGGGGUGCUCGAGUGGCGAACGGGUGAGUAACACGUGAGUAACCUGCCCUUGACUUUGGGAUAACUUCAGGAAACUGGGGCUAAUACCGGAUAGGAGCUCCUGCUGCAUGGUGGGGGUUGGAAAGUUUCGGCGGUUGGGGAUGGACUCGCGGCUUAUCAGCUUGUUGGUGGGGUAGUGGCUUACCAAGGCUUUGACGGGUAGCCGGCCUGAGAGGGUGACCGGCCACACUGGAACGGAGAGACGGCGCAGAGGCCUAAGGGAGGCAGCAGUGGGGAAGAGGGGGCAAGGGGCGCAAGUGGGAUACAGCGAUACGGGGUGGGUGAAGAAGGCCUGGGGGUGGGAAAGCCGGUUUGGUGGGAAAGAAAAGCAGCAGGUUAAGACGCCGCUGGUCUGACGGUAACGAAAGAAGAAGCACCGGCUAACUUAGUG